CCUACGGGAGGCAGCAGUGGGGAAUAUUGGGCAAUGGGCGCAAGCCUGACCCAGCAAUGCCGCGUGAAGGAAGAAGGCUUUCGGGUUGUAAACUUCUUUUAAGAGGGAAGAGCAGAAGACGGUACCUCUUGAAUAAGCCACGGCUAACUACGUGCCAGCAGCCGCGGUAAUACGGAGGUUGCAGGCGUUGUCCGGAUGUAGUGGGGGGAACGGGCGUGCAGCCGGGAAGACAAGUCAGAUGUGAAAUCCCGCGGCUCAACCGCGGAACUGCAUUUGAAACUGUUUUUCUUGAGUACCGGAGAGGUCAGCGGAAUGCCUUGUGUAGCGGUGAAAUGCGUAGAUAUAAGGAAGAACACCAGUGGCGAAGGCAGAUGACUGGACGGCAACUGACGGUGAGGCGCGAAAGCGUGGGGAGCAAACAGGAUUAGAUACCCCUGUAGUC
Molecule: ribosomal RNA, 442 nt
Filed under: uncultured bacterium
Lineage: Bacteria
Description: partial 16S ribosomal RNA
Rfam family: Bacterial small subunit ribosomal RNA
Source: RNAcentral